GGAAGUAAAAGCGUAACAAGGUUUCCGUAGGUGAACCUGCGGAAGGAUCAUUAUUGUAUAACCGAGGUGCGAGGGCUGUCGCUGACCCGAAAGGUCGUGCACGCCCGAGUGCCCUCACACACAUCCAUCUCACCCCUAUGUGCACCACCGCGUGGGUCCCCCUUUGGCUUGUUCGGAGGGGGGCUUACGUUUUCACACAAACUUUGUAUGCAGUGUAGAAUGUAUUUUUUGUUUUUGCGAUCACGCAAUCAAUACAACUUUCAACAACGGAUCUCUUGGCUCUC
Molecule: unclassified non-coding RNA, 284 nt
Filed under: plant metagenome
Description: partial contains small subunit ribosomal RNA, internal transcribed spacer 1, and 5.8S ribosomal RNA
Rfam family: Eukaryotic small subunit ribosomal RNA (bases 1-53)
Source: RNAcentral